This 315-nucleotide ribosomal RNA is filed under the name uncultured bacterium. RNAcentral's name for it is "bacterial SSU rRNA". It matches the Rfam family "Bacterial small subunit ribosomal RNA", at positions 774 to 1085 of the family's 1533-position model. The record is from RNAcentral.
AGACAAUAGAUACCCUGGUAGUCCUGGCCCUCAACGUUGCUCGCUCGUUUUACGGAGUAUCGACCCUCUGUGAGACUAAAGCUAACGCGGUAAGCGAGCCGCCUGGGUAGUACGAUCGCAAGAUUAAAACUCAAAGGAAUAGACGGGGACUCGCACAAGCAGUGGAUUAUGCGGCUUAAUUCGUCGGUAAACGAAGAACCUUACCAAGGUUAGAAACCCAACUGCAUCCGACCUGAAAGGGACGGAGCCUUCGAGGGUGUUGGGCAGGUGAUGCAUGGUCGUCGUCAGUUCGUGGUUUGAACUGUUCCCUUCAGU